Molecule: non-coding RNA, 104 nt
Filed under: Roseateles depolymerans
Lineage: Bacteria; Pseudomonadati; Pseudomonadota; Betaproteobacteria; Burkholderiales; Sphaerotilaceae
Description: c-di-GMP sequence
Rfam family: c-di-GMP-I riboswitch aptamer
About the family: GEMM was predicted in a large-scale screen for bacterial structured RNA regulatory elements. Genes associated with GEMM are involved in a diverse array of functions, including chemotaxis regulation, signal transduction, secretion and chitin.
Source: Rfam by way of RNAcentral
GUCACAUCAGGGCACACCCGAGCGAAAGCCGGGGUCGCAAAGCCUCCGGUCUACCACCGGCACCCCCUUGCGGGGCGUCAGGUCACGAUAGCGGGGUUGCCAGA